This 253-nucleotide ribosomal RNA is filed under the name uncultured bacterium. Its description in RNAcentral is "partial 16S ribosomal RNA". It matches the Rfam family "Bacterial small subunit ribosomal RNA", at positions 524 to 776 of the family's 1533-position model. The record is from RNAcentral.
UACGAAGGGGGCUAGCGUUAUCCGGAAUUAUUGGGCGUAAAGCGCGCGCAGGCGGUUUCUUAAGUCUGAUGUGAAAGCCCACGGCUCAACCGUGGAGGGUCAUUGGAAACUGGGGAACUUGAGUGCAGAAGAGAAAAGCGGAAUUCCACGUGUAGCGGUGAAAUGCGUAGAGAUGUGGAGGAACACCAGUGGCGAAGGCGGCUUUUUGGUCUGUAACUGACGCUGAGGCGCGAAAGCGUGGGGAGCAAACAGG